RNAcentral lists this ribosomal RNA (460 nucleotides) under uncultured bacterium. RNAcentral's name for it is "partial 16S ribosomal RNA". It matches the Rfam family "Bacterial small subunit ribosomal RNA", at positions 338 to 795 of the family's 1533-position model. The record is from RNAcentral.
CCUACGGGGGGCUGCAGUGAGGAAUAUUGGUCAAUGGACGAGAGUCUGAACCAGCCAAGUCGCGUGAAGGAUGACUGCCCUAUGGGUUGUAAACUUCUUUUAUAUGGGAAUAAAACAGGGUAUGCAUACCCUCUUGUAUGUACCAUAUGAAUAAGGAUCGGCUAACUCCGUGCCAGCAGCCGCGGUAAUACGGAGGAUCCGAGCGUUAUCCGGAUUUAUUGGGUUUAAAGGGAGCGUAGGUGGAUUGUUAAGUCAGUUGUGAAAGUUUGCGGCUCAACCGUAAAAUUGCAGUUGAUACUGGCAGUCUUGAGUGCAGUAGAGGUGGGCGGAAUUCGUGGUGUAGCGGUGAAAUGCUUAGAUAUCACGAAGAACUCCGAUUGCGAAGGCAGCUUACUGGACUGCAACUGACACUGAUGCUCGAAAGUGUGGGUAGCAAACAGGAUUAGAUACCCCUGUAGUC